RNAcentral lists this ribosomal RNA (253 nucleotides) under uncultured bacterium. RNAcentral describes it as "partial 16S ribosomal RNA". It matches the Rfam family "Bacterial small subunit ribosomal RNA", at positions 524 to 776 of the family's 1533-position model. The record is from RNAcentral.
UACGGAGGGCGCGAGCGUUAAUCGGAAUUACUGGGCGUAAAGCGCGCGUAGGCUGUUGUGUAAGUUGGGGGUGAAAUCCCACGGCUCAACCGUGGAACAGCCCUUGAUACUGCGCGACUUGAAUCCGGGAGAGGGUGGCGGAAUUCCAGGUGUAGGAGUGAAAUCCGUAGAUAUCGCGCAGAACUCCGAUUGCGAAGGCAGCAUGCCGGCUCCACACUGACGCUGAGGCACGAAAGCGUGGGUAUCGAACAGG